Molecule: non-coding RNA, 449 nt
Organism: Dermacentor andersoni
Lineage: Eukaryota; Metazoa; Arthropoda; Arachnida; Ixodida; Ixodidae
Source: RefSeq, a predicted model, not a curated record
CCACCUGUCCUUGUCUCCUGUGGUCAGGUGCGCCACGCUUGGUACUUUGACCUUAAUAGCACUAGCUGUAAAAUGCUCAGCUACACAGACCCCGCUUGCGACAGCGCUGGGAACCGUUUUCUGUCCGAAAUGAAGUGCCAGGCGGUUUGCCUCCCAAAAGUAAAGCCAAAACCCAUCUGCAGCAGGGAUCCUGAACCAGAUAUGUGUCUCGUGAGCAGAAAGCACUGGUUAUUUGAUUUUAGGAAUAAUGCGUGCAUAAAAUUCAAAAGCGGUUGCGGAAAAGGUCCCAACAGCUUCGCCACGUACGACAAGUGCAUGUCGAAAUGCAGCUAUAACCAAGUAGCGGCGGCCUGCCCAACUUGCGGACAAACCCUCCAAAAUGAGCAACCGAUCGUCGGUAUACCCGGUGUGCCUAGCCAGGUUGGCCCGCCCAGUCCACCAGCCCAGUC